Molecule: ribosomal RNA, 293 nt
Filed under: Clostridioides difficile
Lineage: Bacteria; Bacillati; Bacillota; Clostridia; Peptostreptococcales; Peptostreptococcaceae
Description: partial 23S ribosomal RNA
Rfam family: Bacterial large subunit ribosomal RNA
Source: RNAcentral
CAGUACGGUCGGAAAUCGUACGUAGAGUGUAAAGGCAAAAGAGAGCUUGAUUGCAAGACUUACAGGGCGAGCAAGGAGGAAAAUCGGACUUAGUGAUCCGGUUGUUCUGCGUGGAAGGGCCAUCGCUCAACGGAUAAAAGCUACCCUGGGGAUACCAGGCUUAUCGCCCCCAAGAGUCCACAUCGACGGGGAGGUUUGGCACCUCGAUGUCGGCUAAUCACAUCCUGGGGCUGUAGUAGGUCCCAAGGGUUGGGCUGUUCGCCCAUUAAAGUGGUACGCGAGCUGGGUUCAGA